UACGGAAGGCAGCAGUGGGGAAUAUUGCACAAUGGGCGCAAGCCUGAUGCAGCCAUGCCGCGUGUAUGAAGAAGGCCUUCGGGUUGUAAAGUACUUUCAGUCGUGAGGAAGGUGUUAAGGUUAAUAACCUUAGCAAUUGACGUUAGCGACAGAAGAAGCACCGGCUAACUCCGUGCCAGCAGCCGCGGUAAUACGGAGGGUGCGAGCGUUAAUCGGAAUUACUGGGCGUAAAGGGCACGCAGGCGGUUAAUUAAGUUGGAUGUGAAAAUCCCCGGGCUUAACCUGGGAAUGGCAUUCAAGACUGGUUAGCUAGAGUCUUGUAGAGGGGGUAGAAUUCCAUGUGUAGCGGUGAAAUGCGUAGAGAUGUGGAGGAAUACCGGUGGCGAAGGCGGCCCCUGGACAAAGACUGACGCUCAUGUGCGAAAGCGUGGGGAGCAAACAGGGAUUAGAUACC
RNAcentral lists this ribosomal RNA (454 nucleotides) under uncultured bacterium. RNAcentral describes it as "bacterial SSU rRNA". It matches the Rfam family "Bacterial small subunit ribosomal RNA", at positions 340 to 786 of the family's 1533-position model. The record is from RNAcentral.